UGGGGAAUAUUGCACAAUGGGCGAAAGCCUGAUGCAGCAACGCCGCGUGAGCGAUGAAGGUUUUCGGAUCGUAAAGCUCUGUCGCAUGGGAAGAUAAUGACGGUACCAUGUGAGGAAGCCCCGGCUAACUACGUGCCAGCAGCCGCGGUAAUACGUAGGGGGCAAGCGUUAUCCGGAAUUACUGGGCGUAAAGGGUGCGUAGGUGGUCUGCCAAGUUAGAGGUCAAAGGCAACGGCUCAACCGUUGUUCGCCCCUAAAACUGGCGGACUUGAGUUCUGGAGGGGAAAGCGGAAUUCCUAGUGUAGCGGUGAAAUGCGUAGAUAUUAGGAGGAACACCAGUGGCGAAGGCGGCUUUCUGGACAGAUACUGACACUGAGGCACGAAAGCGUGGGUAGCAAAC
This 400-nucleotide ribosomal RNA is filed under the name uncultured bacterium. RNAcentral describes it as "bacterial SSU rRNA". It matches the Rfam family "Bacterial small subunit ribosomal RNA", at positions 355 to 773 of the family's 1533-position model. The record is from RNAcentral.